GCUUUGGUGGUUCUGUGGUAGAACACUCACCUUCCAUGUGGGAGAUCUGGUUCUGUUCCUGGCCAAUGUG
RNAcentral lists this transfer RNA (70 nucleotides) under Loxodonta africana (African savanna elephant). It matches the Rfam family "tRNA". Rfam says of the family: Transfer RNA (tRNA) molecules are approximately 80 nucleotides in length. The record is from Rfam by way of RNAcentral. Lineage: Eukaryota; Metazoa; Chordata; Mammalia; Proboscidea; Elephantidae.